CCUUUCCUCGUGACCAGUUGAGGAGAGGAAGGAAGGGCCACAGCCUGCUCUGUGUUUGCCAGAGCAGGCUCUUUGGUAGGUCUCUUCGGUUUGAAUGGUGGUUUAGGAUCCAUGAGAACAGUUCCAGAGGACCCAUGCGUGCUCUGGCGUUUCACCCGCCCCUCAGGCUUUCUGUGCCCCAGCAGCCUUUGGGUUGAGCAGGCUGAGCCACCUGGUGAUCACCCUUCCCUGACUUCAUCACAAAUCCUCAGGCUGCCCUCCUCUUUUUCUGAAGCCUCAUUAUCUGGUUUGGAGACAUGAACUUUCGGAUCGAGGACUUUGGGUUGCACUUUGUUCGGGAAUCCAUUAAAAAUCGGUGCUACAGUGGCCUGUGGGAGAAGGACCAGCUCAGCAUUGCCAAGAAACAUGACCCGCUGCUCCGGGAGUUCCAGGAGGGCCGCCUACUCUUCCCGCCCACCUACAAAUUUGAUAGGAACUCCAACGACUAUGACACCAGUGAGAAAAAACGCAAGCCUGCAUGGACCGAUCGCAUCCUGUGGAGGCUGAAGCGGCAGCCCU
Molecule: small RNA, 558 nt
Filed under: Pongo abelii (Sumatran orangutan)
Lineage: Eukaryota; Metazoa; Chordata; Mammalia; Primates; Hominidae
Description: retained intron
Source: RNAcentral